UCCCUGGUGGUCCAGUGGCUAAGACACUGAGCUCCCAAUGCAGCGGGCCUGGGUUCGAUACCUAGUCAGGGAA
Transfer RNA from Ovis aries (sheep), 73 nucleotides. It matches the Rfam family "tRNA". From Rfam's summary of the family: Transfer RNA (tRNA) molecules are approximately 80 nucleotides in length. NCBI's taxonomy places the organism in Eukaryota, Metazoa, Chordata, Mammalia, Artiodactyla, Bovidae. The record is from Rfam.